CCCUCUUCUGCCAUGUGAGGACACCAAGAGAAGAUGGCCAUCUGUGAACCAAUGCAGGCCCUCACCAGACUCUAAAUCUGCCAGUGACUUCUUCUUGGACUUCCAGCCUCCAGAAGUGCCCAGUUGUACCUUGUGGCCGGAUCUAUGGGAGCUCACUGCCAGGGCUCCACUAAAGACAUUGUGAAGGGGAUCUUUGCUGAGAGCUUCCGCUCCUUGUAGCCAGACCAGCACCAGCAGGAUGUCAUUAGCUUGGUUCUUCCUUUUUCACUGGGAUUCUA
This 278-nucleotide long non-coding RNA is filed under the name Equus caballus (horse). RNAcentral describes it as "lncRNA (ENSECAG00000052037.1)". Lineage: Eukaryota; Metazoa; Chordata; Mammalia; Perissodactyla; Equidae. The record is from RNAcentral.